GUCUAAGCCAGAACUGAUCAUCUGUCUGGAGGCAAGGAAAGAGCCCUGGAACGUGAACACAGAGAAGACAGCCAGACACUCAGUUUUGUCUUCUUAUCUUACUGAAGACAUUUUGCCAGAGCAGGGCCUGCAAGUUUCAUUCCAAAAAGUGAUGCUGAGAAGAUAUGAAAGAUGUUGUCUUGAGAAAUUACGCUUAAGGAAUGACUGGGAAAUUGUGGGGUCCAGUCGUCGACCAUCGAGCUGCUUUGAAGACCCUGCGGAGGUUCCGUCGCUGCUUGAACACAGUGCCUGGACUCCCUGCUCCGUGAGGCGAAUUUACACCGGGUCCAGCUGCGUCAGCCCGAGUUCUGAAUUAAAACAUGCCUCCCACAGAAUCUAUUUCUGAUGAAUAUGAAAGGAAGAUUGUUCUUCCAUGUUGGUUUUUAUUGAGAUAUCUCUUUUUUUCCCUUUUCAUUUGGUUGUCCUAACUCCAUGAAUAGAAAAGAAAAUGUAU
RNAcentral lists this long non-coding RNA (493 nucleotides) under Homo sapiens (human). RNAcentral describes it as "HSALNT0025409". Lineage: Eukaryota; Metazoa; Chordata; Mammalia; Primates; Hominidae. The record is from RNAcentral.